AUAGUACUCUCUUCGUCCGAAAAUACUUAUCAUAGGAAUGGAUGUUUCUAGAUGUAUUUUAGUUCUAGAUACAUCCAUUUUUAUACAUUUAUGCAACAAGUAAUUCCAGAUGGAGGGACUAAUAU
Molecule: non-coding RNA, 125 nt
Organism: Hordeum vulgare subsp. vulgare (domesticated barley)
Lineage: Eukaryota; Viridiplantae; Streptophyta; Magnoliopsida; Poales; Poaceae
Source: Rfam